RNAcentral lists this long non-coding RNA (243 nucleotides) under Setaria viridis. RNAcentral describes it as "long non-coding RNA (SVIR_LNC006526)". The record is from RNAcentral. Lineage: Eukaryota; Viridiplantae; Streptophyta; Magnoliopsida; Poales; Poaceae.
UAUGAGUCAUAUUCAAAGCUUAACCACUACUUAUCAUAACUUAGAAUCAUAUGUACCCCUCAAAAACAAUGAUUAAAAGCUUCACAUGACCUAAGUAUAUGCAUCUACUAGCAAACUUUCAUCAUCCAAUUAUAUAGUAAGCAUAUAUAUUAAUUAUAGGUGAUGUGGCAAACAUCUCAUUGGGAGCUGAGAUUUUUAUGGAUGAUAGAUGUUAUCAAAACAUGGCUACUGUAUAAAUCUCAC